RNAcentral lists this ribosomal RNA (2923 nucleotides) under Klebsiella pneumoniae subsp. pneumoniae. RNAcentral describes it as "bacterial LSU rRNA". It matches the Rfam family "Bacterial large subunit ribosomal RNA". The record is from RNAcentral. Lineage: Bacteria; Pseudomonadati; Pseudomonadota; Gammaproteobacteria; Enterobacterales; Enterobacteriaceae.
GGGUUGUGAGGUUAAGCGACUAAGCGUACACGGUGGAUGCCCUGGCAGUCAGAGGCGAUGAAGGACGUGCUAAUCUGCGAAAAGCGUCGGUAAGGUGAUAUGAACCGUUAUAGCCGGCGAUGUCCGAAUGGGGAAACCCAGUGCAAUUCGUUGCACUAUCGUUAACUGAAUACAUAGGUUAACGAGGCGAACCGGGGGAACUGAAACAUCUAAGUACCCCGAGGAAAAGAAAUCAACCGAGAUUCCCCCAGUAGCGGCGAGCGAACGGGGAGCAGCCCAGAGUCUGAAUCAGCUUGUGUGUUAGUGGAACGGUCUGGAAAGUCCGACGGUACAGGGUGAUAGUCCCGUACACCAAAAUGCACAGGUUGUGAACUCGAAGAGUAGGGCGGGACACGUGGUAUCCUGUCUGAAUAUGGGGGGACCAUCCUCCAAGGCUAAAUACUCCUGACUGACCGAUAGUGAACCAGUACCGUGAGGGAAAGGCGAAAAGAACCCCGGCGAGGGGAGUGAAAAAGAACCUGAAACCGUGUACGUACAAGCAGUGGGAGCACCUUCGGGUGUGACUGCGUACCUUUUGUAUAAUGGGUCAGCGACUUAUAUUCUGUAGCAAGGUUAACCGUAUAGGGGAGCCGCAGGGAAACCGAGUCUUAACUGGGCGUUAAGUUGCAGGGUAUAGACCCGAAACCCGGUGAUCUAGCCAUGAGCAGGUUGAAGGUUGGGUAACACUAACUGGAGGACCGAACCGACUAAUGUUGAAAAAUUAGCGGAUGACUUGUGGCUGGGGGUGAAAGGCCAAUCAAACCGGGAGAUAGCUGGUUCUCCCCGAAAGCUAUUUAGGUAGCGCCUCGUGAAUUCAUCUUCGGGGGUAGAGCACUGUUUCGGCUAGGGGGUCAUCCCGACUUACCAACCCGAUGCAAACUACGAAUACCGAAGAAUGUUAUCACGGGAGACACACGGCGGGUGCUAACGUCCGUCGUGAAGAGGGAAACAACCCAGACCGCCAGCUAAGGUCCCAAAGUCAUGGUUAAGUGGGAAACGAUGUGGGAAGGCACAGACAGCCAGGAUGUUGGCUUAGAAGCAGCCAUCAUUUAAAGAAAGCGUAAUAGCUCACUGGUCGAGUCGGCCUGCGCGGAAGAUGUAACGGGGCUAAACCAUGCACCGAAGCUGCGGCAGCGACACUAUGUGUUGUUGGGUAGGGGAGCGUUCUGUAAGCCUGCGAAGGUGUGCUGUGAGGCAUGCUGGAGGUAUCAGAAGUGCGAAUGCUGACAUAAGUAACGAUAAAGCGGGUGAAAAGCCCGCUCGCCGGAAGACCAAGGGUUCCUGUCCAACGUUAAUCGGGGCAGGGUGAGUCGACCCCUAAGGCGAGGCCGAAAGGCGUAGUCGAUGGGAAACAGGUUAAUAUUCCUGUACUUGGUGUUACUGCGAAGGGGGGACGGAGAAGGCUAUGUUAGCCGGGCGACGGUUGUCCCGGUUUAAGCAUGUAGGCUGGUUAUCCAGGCAAAUCCGGAUAAUCAAGGCUGAGGUGUGAUGACGAGGCACUACGGUGCUGAAGUAACAAAUGCCCUGCUUCCAGGAAAAGCCUCUAAGCAUCAGGUAACAUCAAAUCGUACCCCAAACCGACACAGGUGGUCAGGUAGAGAAUACCAAGGCGCUUGAGAGAACUCGGGUGAAGGAACUAGGCAAAAUGGUGCCGUAACUUCGGGAGAAGGCACGCUGGUGUGUAGGUGAAGUCCCUGCGGAUGGAGCUGAGACCAGUCGAAGAUACCAGCUGGCUGCAACUGUUUAUUAAAAACACAGCACUGUGCAAACACGAAAGUGGACGUAUACGGUGUGACGCCUGCCCGGUGCCGGAAGGUUAAUUGAUGGGGUUAUCCGUAAGGAGAAGCUCUUGAUCGAAGCCCCGGUAAACGGCGGCCGUAACUAUAACGGUCCUAAGGUAGCGAAAUUCCUUGUCGGGUAAGUUCCGACCUGCACGAAUGGCGUAAUGAUGGCCAGGCUGUCUCCACCCGAGACUCAGUGAAAUUGAACUCGCUGUGAAGAUGCAGUGUACCCGCGGCAAGACGGAAAGACCCCGUGAACCUUUACUAUAGCUUGACACUGAACAUUGAGCCUUGAUGUGUAGGAUAGGUGGGAGGCUUUGAAGCGUGGACGCCAGUCUGCGUGGAGCCAACCUUGAAAUACCACCCUUUAAUGUUUGAUGUUCUAACGUUGGCCCCUGACCGGGGUUGCGGACAGUGUCUGGUGGGUAGUUUGACUGGGGCGGUCUCCUCCCAAAGCGUAACGGAGGAGCACGAAGGUUAGCUAAUCCUGGUCGGACAUCAGGAGGUUAGUGCAAUGGCAUAAGCUAGCUUGACUGCGAGCGUGACGGCGCGAGCAGGUGCGAAAGCAGGUCAUAGUGAUCCGGUGGUUCUGAAUGGAAGGGCCAUCGCUCAACGGAUAAAAGGUACUCCGGGGAUAACAGGCUGAUACCGCCCAAGAGUUCAUAUCGACGGCGGUGUUUGGCACCUCGAUGUCGGCUCAUCACAUCCUGGGGCUGAAGUAGGUCCCAAGGGUAUGGCUGUUCGCCAUUUAAAGUGGUACGCGAGCUGGGUUUAGAACGUCGUGAGACAGUUCGGUCCCUAUCUGCCGUGGGCGCUGGAGAAUUGAGGGGGGCUGCUCCUAGUACGAGAGGACCGGAGUGGACGCAUCACUGGUGUUCGGGUUGUCAUGCCAAUGGCACUGCCCGGUAGCUAAAUGCGGAAGAGAUAAGUGCUGAAAGCAUCUAAGCACGAAACUUGCCCCGAGAUGAGUUCUCCCUGAGACUUUAAGUCUCCUGAAGGAACGUUGAAGACGACGACGUUGAUAGGCCGGGUGUGUAAGCGCAGCGAUGCGUUGAGCUAACCGGUACUAAUGAACCGUGAGGCUUAACCUUACAACGCCGAAG